AGGGGGAGCCAACUACCCUCUCUUUCUCCCCCCACCGUGGUGUUGUACUGUGGAGAUCCAGCCCAAGCUCGAAACUGAAGAUUCG
Molecule: non-coding RNA, 85 nt
Filed under: Palpitomonas bilix
Lineage: Eukaryota
Source: RNAcentral